AUGGAUCCUUCUAACGACGAAUGCAUUGAGAAGUUUUUAAAGGAACUGGGUGUUCUGGAAAAUGUUAACCUGAUUCAAUUCCAGAAAAUUCAAAAUUUCAAGCAAGCCAUAAACAAGCUUUCAGAGGCUCUUCAAAGCAUUGAUCUGUCAAAGAAAGACUCAAAUGUUUUUGACAGCCCUCAUGUUUACCCCAAAGAACUUGUAGAUAGCAUAAAUCAGAUGAUCUACGAAGAAUGGCUGAAGAACAAGUGGACUCCCUGCGAAAACAGACAGCUUAAUUUAUUUGAGUAUAUGAAGGAAGUUAAUACUUUUUUCAAAGAACUUACAAGCUCUAUUCAACCCUCAUUUGAUGGAGCUGAUGGGGUCAGUUUAAAAGAAAAGUAUGAGCAGUCCAAAGAAGAACUAGAAAAACUACGCUCAAUGGACAAAAAUUUGUCAAAUUCAGAAACAAUGAUAAACGAAAAAACGAGAACCCUGUCAGAUAAAAUCAAGGAAUUAGAGGUUGAAUUAUUCGAUGGUAAUGCCGUAAAACAUUCUGAGCUAAUUAUUUUCUAUUACUAAAGAAGAUAAAUAAAAUUUCUCUCAAUGAUGAAUGGUAUGAAGUAAACAUCAUUUGUUCUACAAAUGAAUCAAUUGUGCAAUGGUUGUUUGAGAUCCAAGAGAACUUGUGACCCUGUUUUCAAGAAGUGGACACCUAGCCUUUAGAUUCAAUUUGAUGAGCUACUCAAGUUUAUACUAUGGAUAGAUGUGAAACUGAUGUUAGAAAAUGUUCUAGUGAAGUUUUUAAAUGGAUAUCCAAUGAAUCUUUUUGAUGUUUGGCAGUACUCUUAAAAGAAUUACCCAAAAAAUUUGCCGCCUGGGUUUGCCCAGUGGUCAGCGCUUCUGACUCUGGUCAGGGUCCUGGGUUAAAUCUCGGUAGUGGUAACAAAGUUUCCUGGAACUGACGGGUAUACCUGCAGAAACCGAUUUCACUUGGCCUUAACCUCUGAAAACUUGAAAACCUGAAGCACGUUGGUUCUGCCAGGUUUGCCAAGCUGUAAAGAGCAAAAAAAAGUCACAGAAGAAAUCAAAUCUUACAAUUGAAUUGGGACGUGCGAAAACAGCUUUUGUCCAUUUUUCCAGUUUUACGUUUUUUUAGUUCAUAAUACUUUUAAAGAGUUGAUACAACCAUAAAAGUGAUGCAAGGAUUUGUUUUGGUUUUGAGAAAACCCGAAGACGAGUUUUAACGCCACUCUCAAGGUUGCAACCAACUCCGAAAAGUAUCAUGAACUCAAAAAAACUUAAGACUGGAAAAUUGGACGUCAGCUGUUUUCGCAUGUCCCGAUUCAAUUAGUGAUGACUUCAAAAGUAGAUUCCUUCAGUGCCUUAUUGAUCUGCUUAAAUUCUCUAAUUAAUUAGUAAACUGUCCUGUAAAUUUGUUGUUUACCUACUCUAUUUUUUUAACUUUUACAGAUAGUGAUGAAGAGGCAGAUCCUAUUUUUAAAAAUCUACUAAAUGACUCACCUCAGAUAAGAAUGCCAUCUCUCGAUAAAGAAGUUGAGAAUAUAAAAUAUGAAUUUCUCAUCGAUUCUCCUGCCAUUAAGAGUAAGUCGAUAUUAGAACCUGUGUAAGAUAAGUUUGCAGUUGUUAACUUUUGGUUUGCAAGAGUCUGAGUUGCUGUUGUCCAAUAGCGAUCGAGGUUUGACCGCAGGCGACUCAGCUGUCAUGCGCAGAUAUGUAAUUCAAUCUAUUGUGUUCAAUGGUGAAAAGUAAAUAGCUGUGAACUUAUCCGGCAAAAGUUCUAAUUAGUUUUGUUUAUUUCCCAGUUGUACAUUAGCUUUCUGUGGCUGUAUCUAAUCGUACAAGUGAAAAUCACUUAUCUCAAUGUGCAUUGUCGUCUCUUGUCUGAUUCUGUUUCGAAAAAAUCACUUACUAACAUUACUCUAAAUUAAAUUAAAAUAAAAUGAUCCCACUCGGUCAUUUUUUAAUCGGCACUUCUUCACCUUAAAUGAAGUGUCAACCCUAAGUAUCAUUUUGACGGAGAUGUAUAGGAGGGUCUGUGACACCUUUAAUGGAUUAUCUUUGCUGAAAUUGUUUCCAUCAGCAUUUGAGAAACCUCAAAAAUUUUUCCAGAUGCUUUGAUCCAGGAGAGGAACCAGAUACGACUCCAAUACCAGUGUAUGGCCAUGGCUACCAUGGCUGUGUACCAUGGCUUGCGUUCAGCCACAUGCGGUCUGAUUUCCUCUCAAGAUAGCCUCUUCAACUCUGUAUACCCUAACAAAGAUCUUUCUGGCCGAGAUUAUUAAAAUAAAUCUAUUCUUGUUGACAUAUUGAAUAAUCCUCAUAGUUUCUUCUGUGAAAAAAUUCAUUCAAGUUCUUUUUUGCAAGAAAAUAUAUCUGCGGCUAAGAGCCGAAGGAUGGAUUGAACACAAUUCAGAAUCGAAUCAGUGAGGAUGAAAACAUACCAACUCAGAAAAAUGUAAUUGUUCAAGAGACACAAAAACUGCGCAGUAGGUGAAGAAGUUGGUCUAAGAAAAUGCUUUUUUGAGCCAAAGGACAAUUACUUUGGGACAGUGUAAAGGCCCAGGUUAACAUAUAUGUGCUAUCCUCAAUGGCUUUUGAAAACUGAACAUCUUUAAUGAAAGGGCAUUUUUAAGUUUUCAAGUUUGUAUGUUUUCAUUCUCAUGGAUUCAGUUAUCUUAAGUAUUAUUCUGUUCAAUAUAUUUUUCAUAAUCAGUGAAAUCCAAUCACUUGUCAUUGAGAUUUCUUAUGAUCAUUUCAGAAUUUGCCUCUAAACUACUUCAUCAAUUGAAAACUCAGAAAACGGCUGGUGUUGCCACACCCUGUAACAGUGGUAAUUAUUUUCUACUAUGUAUUCCUCCUCUUUUCCUCUAACUGAAGUUUUUUUCCAAUGGUAAGGUAAUAGCCUUGUUCAUUCUAAGUUGCAACCCAAUGGACUUCCGGACAAGGUACGAAUUUUAGCAUCUGAUAUAUGUACUUUUAAAACUACCACUCUAAAUUUCACACAGUACGUUAUCUGCGCAUCAGAAAUUACUGAAAUUAACUCCCAACCGAAUUAUUAAGGUUUUUUUCAGCACUGGUCACAAAAAAGUUGUAAAUUCUGCUCUCAUGAAAAACCAGAAUCUACUUCAUUCAAGUCGUGCACCACAACAGGUUUGUCAGGCUUCUCAAUAAGCAUUGCUCGUUUCAUACCUUGCGCUC
This 3201-nucleotide long non-coding RNA is filed under the name Bemisia tabaci. Its description in RNAcentral is "lncRNA ENSSWEETPG008328". The record is from RNAcentral. Lineage: Eukaryota; Metazoa; Arthropoda; Insecta; Hemiptera; Aleyrodidae.